GACGAACGCUGGCGGCGUGCUUAACACAUGCAAGUCGAACGAGAAGAGAUGAGAAGCUUGCUUCUUAUCAAUUCGAGUGGCAAACGGGUGAGUAACGCGUAAGCAACCUGCCCUUCAGAUGGGGACAACAGCUGGAAACGGCUGCUAAUACCGAAUACGUUCUUUUGUCGCAUGGCAGAGGGAAGAAAGGGAGGCUCUUCGGAGCUUUCGCUGAAGGAGGGGCUUGCGUCUGAUUAGCUAGUUGGAGGGGCAAACGGCCCACCAAGGCAACGAUCAGUAGGGGUUCUGAGAGGAAGGUCCCCCACAUUGGUACUGAGACACGGACCAGACUCCUACGGGAGCAGCAGUGGGGAAUCUUCCGGCAAAUGGGCGCAAGCCUGACGGAGCAACG
Molecule: ribosomal RNA, 391 nt
Filed under: uncultured bacterium
Lineage: Bacteria
Description: bacterial SSU rRNA
Rfam family: Bacterial small subunit ribosomal RNA
Source: RNAcentral